UCCACGUUAAAGGGGAACCCUCCCCCGGGUGGAUUUCGAGGUGUUGGAAGCUUCUCUGACAAUGCCCGGGAGGAGGGCCAAGGCCCAGGGCUGCCCAGAGUAAGCCUGGCAGAAGAAAAAAGGAAAGCAAGUGAGAACCAUGUUAAUGAGACUGGUCGAAUGAACCUUGUUUCAGAGUCCAGACAUCACCAUGCUGCUUAAACACUCCAUUUCCCAGUGUCUGCUGCAAAGUUCCCCCUUCCAGGUUGGGGCAAGCAGACCUAUGGACCUCUACUAAAAGCAAUUCCUGCAAACCCAAGGAGACCCUGAGCUCUCCACAUCUCUCUGGAUAUUGACAUCCAGCUCAGGAGCUACCUUAAGGAUGAGAACUAGUUCAAGAGGUGGGUACAGGAAGGAGCUCAUGAAGGCAAAGUGCCUCAGGCAGGCAGAAGUCAUCCUGGAUCUGUGCUUGGAGCCCUGGCUUUUAUAGAUGCUGGGAAGUUUGGCAAGGCCUGCUAUGAAGCUAAGUUGGGAGAUAACAAAUGCCAAAGCGCUUUGGGACCUGGCUCUGCCAUGCAGAAGAGAGGGGCUGAUACUGCGAACAGCACCAUCAUCCACCUGCAUGGAGAAUACGAGCAGAUGUCCCUCUGCUGCCCCACCCACACCUAGCAAGAUGGCCCUGAAUACUCAGCACAGUCCUCUAGUGAGAUGCUCCGGACAGAGGCCAGGACAAGACAGGCCCAGGCUUGCCCUCAGGCCUCUCUGAUAACACUGCCCACUGCAGCACCAGCACCCCUGACCAGUGUCCCCAUCCUGGCCUCAGGCGUGGGAAGCUCAGCCUGUCAGUCUCUUGCCAGAAGCCCUCAAUUAUCUGUUCAGUUGCCUUCUUCGGGCCCAGGAAUGAUAAGCAAGGAUGGCUGCAACCGUCACCCACAGCUCCAGAUGCCUUGUCUACGGUUUUCGCCAACUCAGCCUCUACUCAGCAACUAAUGGUGCCUUUCAGAAAUAAAAGCAAGUUGCUCAAAACCUUUCAGUGGCUUCCCACUGUCCUUGGAUCAAGUCCCACCUCUGACAAGGCCUCGUCUUCCUCCAUG
Long non-coding RNA from Canis lupus familiaris (dog), 1073 nucleotides. RefSeq lists it as uncharacterized. The record is from RefSeq and is a predicted model, not a curated record. The transcript is spliced from 7 exons. Lineage: Eukaryota; Metazoa; Chordata; Mammalia; Carnivora; Canidae.